CCCUAUUAUUGAAAAUGUAAAUAUAAAUGCUUGAGUAUUAGUAGUUAUGUUCUUGAAAUUUAAAGGAUUUGGCGGUAUUAUAGUCUAUUCAGAGGAACCUGUCCUAUAAUUGAUGAUCCACGAUUAAUCUUACUUGUUUUAAAGGUUUGUAUAUCGUCGUAGGUUGAAUGUUUUGAAAGGAAGAGGAAUAUUCAAGAUAUUAGGUUAUAGAGGGGAUCUGAUCUCGAGAUUCAGCGUAUAGACCCGUAGAGAUGGGUUACAAUGAAUUUAUUUAUUUGGUUGAUUUAGUUCCCUUUCUUUUUUAGAGUGGAUUUGAUUUUCAUAUGGUUUAGUUAAUCUAUAUGCUUGACGGUCUAUAAUAUGCACAUAUCGCCCGUCGCUCCUGCUCUAAAGCAGGAUAAGU
RNAcentral lists this ribosomal RNA (403 nucleotides) under Paracotalpa ursina. RNAcentral describes it as "partial small subunit ribosomal RNA". The record is from RNAcentral. Lineage: Eukaryota; Metazoa; Arthropoda; Insecta; Coleoptera; Scarabaeidae.